GGGCCCCUGAUUUAAUUAUUUAACAUGGAACCAUUGUCCUGAGUCAGGAGCAUAGAUGAGGAGAAAGAAUGAGUGUGUCUGUGUUGCUUCAUGAUUGCAUUCUGGGGAAGAUCUUGCCUGUUAACUGCCAGAGAAGGAAGGAAGAUGCCGAUAACCAGUGGUGCCAGUUUUCUUUAAACAUCGGGCCUUGCUUGCAAGCUCUACAGUUACGCCCAGUAUUUACAUGGCACCCAAAGACAUUCCCUGCUGCCCUAUCCCCAUGUGUAACAAGCUUGUAAACUGAUCUGCGUCACCUAUGUGUUUGGAUCACGGAGUCCAUGUCUAACCUAGGGUCUUGCGUGUGCAGUAGGCUAUAAGGGACUCACUCAGUAUCCAAUGGUACAGGUUCGAAGAGUUUCUAAUGGGGACACAGGACAACUAGACUGAGAACCAAUGGCUCCAGUCUGCUUUAAACAUGGGUCUGUGCUCACAAGUCCUACGUGAGUAAUAUUCCAAAUUAUACUGUCUUCUUUUGAUCAGUGGUAUGCUCUAUGUUAUUAUAGAGUAUACAAUGUACUGAGACAAGGAUGCCAGUCAUUCUGUCCAAGAAAAUGCAACCAUACUUUGUCAUUUUGUUGACAAUUGGAUGCAUUCAUUAUUGGACUAGAAUAUAGUAUAACACGGGCCAAUGAUGACAAGGUUUCGGGAUUAUAAGUCACAGACGAUGACUGAAGUUGCAGAGAUCUGAGGUCCACAGCGUAACAUGCCACAUGUGACCCUCUCAUGGAGUGGUUGCUAGUCAGGCGUGUUGCAGCACACAUUAAACAUUAGCGAUUCACUCUCAUCAUUUCAGAGUGGAUCAUUGAAUCAAGACAUAAAUCUACAUGCACAUAAAUCAUUUAAAAUUCAUGGCCUAAGUCUUUUUGACGGUCAAGGCCUUGAUUUUCAAAAUUAUCAAAUUUCUUUUCUUUCUUUUUUUUUUUUUUAACUUGAUUUCUUAAGAAAUCUAUCACAACAAUUUGACUCUUAAACAGUGAAAGGUGAAAUGUAAACAAUAAAUGGACAGGUAUCAAUCUUUUUAUUAUCUCUGCUGUUUUGUACUCCCUGGAUGAGUGCUGACACAUGAUUUCCUGCCUGGGAGGUCCAUGGUUGACCUGUCACCACGUGGAUGGAGCUCAACAAGUGAUAAUGCAUUCUGCCACCAAGAUGAUGUUCACGCUAUCGUUUGAUCAUGAGCCCCAUAAUAAACUGUUUCAGAUUGUAAUAUAGACACAGUAAUGUAUACUCCAAGCUGAUUGACAUAUUCUUCCUUAGUCUUGAAGUUUGAGAUUCCCUGUUUGUGUCUGCAGGAUUGGCAUAGUAAUGGCCAUCCUGCAAGCUGACUUCAUAAAGUCUCACCUGAAAAUCAACCUCGUGAUCUAGCCUUUGUGUUCGUGCAUAGACACUGUGAUGGAUUCCCUCCAAGUUGAUUUAGAAAUUCUCUCUUGGUCAUAAUUGUCAUGGUCAACUCUAGAUUCUUUGUAGAUAGCAGAACGGAUACCCCUAAGCUGAUGUAUAUAUUCUCUUCCUUGGUUGCGAGAUUCCAGCUCUGGUCGUUGUAGUCCUAAGAUAGACGUAGUUGUGUAGUCAGUGUUCACACCUUGGUUGUGGGUACUUUGAAAGACUACACACACUACUGUUGAAGUACCACCUUAUCCGAGUGGAUGGAUGCCCUCUAUGGGAUUUGCACACUCUCCAUUGCUCCUGUGCUGUCACCAGCACUUCAGGCUUAUUAUGUAUACACAGUAAUGGAUUUUCCCCAUUCUGUAUUCUUCGGGUGAGCACGGAAACAGAUGCCUUCCUCACUGGUCAUCAGGUUCAUGGUCCCUCGUAUGUGUCAGGAGCAUAUAGUCACCAACCAUAGAUGCUUUCCUGGAGAUAUUCAUAUUCUGGUUCCUGAGAACACAGAGACUGAUAAAGACCAACUUAAUGUCAAUGGGGGAUCCUGUCCCAUCCUAAGCUCUAAGGUUGCUUGCGUCACAGCUACAACCGGCUCAGGGAACCCUAUGGAAGAGGAGGUGGAAGCAGUGUAAGACAGCCAAUUGCAAUGGAAGACAUGGAGGAAACUAGGCCUUCUGGACACAAGAGGACCGAUGUACAUAUGAACUCACAGAGACUGAGGCAGCAGGCACAGGACCUGCACAGGUCUAAGCCACAUGGGCUGACAGCACUGAGAGGAGAACUGGACACAAUUCUAUAUUCAUAACCCAGAAGCUUUCUCCAGUUGAUAAACUCUGUCAAAGGAAAAACCAGUUUUCUCCAAUGGAGUCUCGCUGGACAUAUAAACCACCCUUAAGAACAGGGGCUCCAUGGCCCAGAUGGCCAACACAUGAUGAACUCAAUGGCAUUUUUGGAGGGUUUUGUGACUCACGAUGCAUUGUCUGGGUACUUUUUUUUUACACUAUAUAUUAUGGUUUCUGAUUGUAUUUUUUAAAUUUUCUCCACGUCUAAAUAUAUGUCUCAGUAUCUGUAUGUAAUUUUUCUUUAGCUAUAUUUUUUUCCUAUUCUGCUUUGCUUGUUUUUUCUUAAUUGGUUAUUUUAUUUAUUUACAUUUCAAAUGUUAUGCCCUUUCCCAAGUUUACCCUCCAGAAACCCCCUAUCCAAUUCUCUUUACCCCUGAUUCUCUCUCUAAUGGUGCUCACCCACCCACCAACCCACUCCUGCCCCACUGCCCUAGUUUUCCCCUAGAUGGGGGCAUCGAGCCUUCACAGGACCAAGGGCCUCUCCUCCCAUUGAUGCCUGACAGGGCAGUCCUCUGCUACAUAUGCGGCUAGAGCCAUGGUUUUCUCCAUGUAUACUCUUUGUUUGAUAGUUUAGUCUUUGGGGUCUCUGGGUUGGGGGAGGGUAAACCCUUGUUCAUCCUAUGGGGUUGGAAACCCCUUCAGCUCCUUCAGUCCUUUCAAGAACUCCUCCAUCGUGUUUCCUGUUUUCAGUCCUUUGAUUGACUUGGAGCAUCCUCUCUGUAUUAGUCAGGCCUCACAGAAAAAGCUAUAUCAGGCUCCUGUCAACUUUCCUUGUUUGUAUCUCCUUCUCCUCCUCCUUAUUUUAGAUGUCUGUUUUUACUCUCAUGUAAGAAUGAGUGAAUUGGUGUGGAUUUGGGUGGGUGGGGAAAUGGGGAGCAUGGGAGGUGUUGGGAGGGAAAUCUAUAAUGUAAAUAUAUUGUAUAAAAUACAUUUGAAUAAAAAAGUAUUUCCUCUAUGACCAAAAAAAUUGUGAAGUAGAAUUAUUGAAAGAGAGCGGAAGGAUCAAUGGAAAAUAUAAAUCAAUAGGUGGGUGAGUGGGUGCUUGUGAGAUAAAAGAUAUUGAGAAUAGAGAAGACAGCGUGGGAUGGGGUGGAUUUGACCCAAACACGUUAUGUGCAUGUGUGAAUGUUUAAUAACCAAUUUGCAAAGAAAUGUAGCACUAAUUGUUUUACUAU
Molecule: non-coding RNA, 3436 nt
Organism: Arvicanthis niloticus (Nile rat)
Lineage: Eukaryota; Metazoa; Chordata; Mammalia; Rodentia; Muridae
Source: RefSeq, a predicted model, not a curated record